AAUAAAAUAUGGAUGUGAAUGGAAGUUGAUGUUUGAAGAUGGGUAGAUUUUCUUCAAACAAGUUUUGAAGGAGUAAAGAAGUUCUCUAACCUAUUCAUCAGCACUUUAAUGUUGAUGUAGUUAUUUACUUCUAAAUGACCCAAUAACCAUAAUAUCCAGGGCACUGAGUUUGCUUAUGCAAUAUAAAAUAAAUAAGUAAAUAUUGGAAAGACAUUUCAAUUUCAUUAAUCGGCUGAGUUCUCAUUAUAUUUUCAGCCUAACCAAGAGAUCCCAUGGACUACUGAAAAGAUAAGUUCAAAUAGCUAAUUAAUCCCCAAGAUGGAGUCCUUAACCAACUAUUACCUUUAUCCUCACUAGUGGUAAUCAUAUGACAUUUUCCACAAAUCACUGAAAAAAUGUUGCAUCAGAAUUCCCAGAUCACUGUGGACAACAUAGAAUCAUGAUUUCUAACUAUCAAUUACUGUUAAUAGUCAAGCCUGGGAGUAACAGAAGUCCUGCUUAGGAAAGAAAAAGCUUUUCCAAGGGUCAAAUUCUGCCAAACUGGAACACCUAGAUCAUACCUGCACACAGACACAAGAAUGAGUCACUGGAUUUUUCAAUGUUGAGUAGUUGUUUUUAUUUAGAAAAGCAGGCAGAGGGUACUCGAAAUUCUAUUAGGGCAGUUGCUGUGGGGAAGAGAUAUUUAUUUCUUCUUAUGGCUCCUCCAGUCUAAACUGCUCACUAUAAAUCUGUCCAAUUAGUGCUUAAACCAUUUAUUUACUUAACAUACUGCUUAAAUGAGCAAAGCUAAAAAACAGGAAUACACAGGAUAUUUCCGCCUUCCUGCAAUAAUCCUUGGGGUAUGAAUAAAACAAGUAGAACUCUUUCAGUUGAUGCCUAAGGGACUCAUUAUUUAGUCCGGAAAAGCUAAGUUUUAAUGAUGAUUAUUAAGCCCAAGAAUAUUUUCCAGAGGAGGAAGGCAUAUAGUCACCGUUUGUUUCAUGAUUCACUAUGGUUGAAAAAUCUUGGAACUCUGAAACUUCCAGAAAAAAAAAUCAGAAAGAAAGAAAGAAAUUGUUACAAUGAAAUGUUAGAAAUUCUGCAUGUUUUGUUCUGGCUACAAUGUUACAAGAUACUUGAUAUAAUAAAACAUUGUAGUUAUUUUACAUCUUGCAUGUAGGUAAAAUGAAUGACAGUUUUGGCUGUCAAAACCUAAUUUUUUUUAACAGCAUUUCCUAUAAAAAACAAUUCAGUGUUUUUUUUCCCCCAUUUGGGGGGGGACUGGAUCAGACAGGAUUUUCUUAAAGUGGCUUAGAGUCAAACCAACAGGAGCAGAGGACAGAAGCAAUUUAAAUAUUCAAUGUAGGUAUGCCCUGAUGGAGGAAACAAAUAUUCUCGUAUAAAUAUGCAUGAGGUUACUUCCAAAAACAAAUCAUGAAACCAAUAAAAUAGACUUUUUGGAAAGCUAUUGACUUACUGGAUGUAUACGUUUUUGGUUAUUGGUAUUGAAAAUACACAGGAACAAAACAAUAAAGAUAAUAUUUAAAAGGCCAUGGCUUGUUUUUCUAGGUUCAAGUGGAGAAAGUUAGGUCUCUUUUUCAUCAAGAAAAGGAAAAAAAAUAGUUUUAAGCCUAAGGUAUCAUUUUAUUAUGAGAUGCUACAAAUAUAAAGCAUCCCCUUCUGACAGCAUUUGGAUUACCUCCUCUAUUCCUAUAAACUCUUAUUUGGAGCCAGUAAGUCUAUUAUUUUAAAUUUAUUUCCAUUGCAAGUGUAUAUUUUUUUGAAUCAAAGCCACCACUGAGGAUUUCUGAAUGUAUCAAGUAUUGUAUGAAGGAAAAAUGAUGACCAUAUAUAGCUAUUUAGUUUUGUCCUAACAUUAAAAGAAACAAUACUUCACCUUGCCUUUUAUAAAGAAAAGUCUGAAUUACUUUUAAAGACUUAUGUGUUACGCAACUGAUUGAGAACAUAAUUGUCAGUUUUCAAAUUUAUGAAUAUGAACUUACAAGUCACUUCCAACUUGGCAGAAAGAAAAAAAGACCACAUGGUGUAAUCUCACAAUAAAACAUAAAUCUAUUCUGUAUCCCAUUGAGAACUUUGAAGUCCAAUAAUAGACAUUACCAUCAAGUUGUUUAUUUUUUCUCUUCUAAAAUGAUCUUCAGCAAAAUGGUAUAAUUAAUUCAGCAUUCUUUUUUCCAGAAUCUACAGUAUUGUUUAAAGCUACCUUAAAUGGUAAACAGCUUGGUCAAUCCUGAUAUGCAUCAAUUAAUGCAAAUUGGAGUGAUGGACCAAAUUUUAGCAGGCUGAAAACAAGAAUUAAAAAAGAUAUUUCCCCCAAAAACAGAAAAUCAAAAAAAAACCCCACACAUACAUAGAAACCAACCUUAUUGAAACAUCAGAGCACUGCAAAUGUAGUCAGAUUUCUCUCAGUUACCCUUUAAGAUUAGAAUUUCUGAUAUUUUUAUCCCAAAGAACUCCAUAGUAUUUAAAAAUCAACUGAAAGACAACCACAGAGAAGAUUAAGUCCAAACAAGCACUACAACUUAUGUCCAGAGAGACUGUAAUGGAAUAUUAUAACUUUCAUGGAAACAGCUUUAAUGAAAAAGACUUUGAGCAAACAUCAUAAAACUCUGCCAAAUUCUGGAAAAACCGUUACUAAUGUCCCUAGCAGAUUGUCUUCAAAACAGGCCUCAACCUCCAUCGGGUCAGAGCUUCCUGCACUUUCACCAGAUGUAGUGAGUUUAAAUUCUGUUGUUAAAACAAAUCCUGGAAAGAAGAGGCCCAAAACUGUGACAAUAUCAAAAAGGUCAAGUGUUGGAAGCAUGUCUCAGGAUCAAUGGGAUCGACCAGUUAUUCCACCAAGAAGGCCAGGCUUAAGGGUGUGCUAUAUCUGUGGCAGAGAGUUUGGUUCAAAAUCUCUUCCUAUUCAUGAACCACAAUGCCUGGAGAAGUGGCAUAUUGAAAAUGACAAACUACCAAAACAUCUCAGGAGACCACCACCAGUAAAACCUCAGGCUCUUCCUGGAAAGUCUUCUGGUAUAGUGGCUGAAAAUGAAGCAGCAGCUCAAAGUUUUCAAGCUCAGCUCCAGCCCUGUCAAAACUGUGGUCGCACUUUCCUCCCAGAUCGCCUCCUUGUACAUCAAAAGAGUUGCAAACUGAAGUCUAAUCCAGGUUCUUUAAAGUCCAAAUUGCUUACAUCUACAUCAGACAAGUCUCCCAUGAUAAGGCGGCCUCCUACAGUUAUUUGUUAUAUUUGUGGCCGUGAGUAUGGAACCCAUUCCAUAGGCAUCCAUGAGCCACAGUGCCUGAACAAAUGGCAUAUUGAGAACAAUCAACUGCCAAAGCAUUUGCGAAGACCUGAACCUGUAAAGCCAGUUGUCAGUUCCAUAGGAGCCAAAGGUUACUAUGAUCUUGAUGCUUUAAAUGAGUCUGCUUGGCAAAGUGCCCAGAGCCAGCUAGUUCCAUGCAAUAUUUGUGGCCGUACCUUCCUGCCAGACAGACUGAUUGUCCAUCAGCGGUCCUGUAAACCAAAGAUACCAAAAUAAAGCUCUCCUCAUGUUAAGGACUUAAAGAACAAAAUUGUUCUCUCGCCUCUAGAACAAAAGUUUCGACACUGAAGAAUCAUUGAACUAUAUAGAAUUAUUCCAAGUCUGCUCUGCAUAAAAUUAAUGUACUAUUGAUUAUGUGAGUGACAUAUGGGACAUGGGGCACCUGACAGUGUUUUGCAGCAAUUAUUGAUGAGUGGCUCAUAAGGACAAAAAGAACCUUUAUGGAAACCUCUGCAAGAUGGAGCCUUCACAGAAAGGACAGUGGCCUUCAUGCUAUUCAUUGAUUACUGUUCUUCUAAGUAUUGCAAUGUCUGUUAAGAAAUGGUUUUGUCUGAUAGACUCCUCAUUUAGUAAAUCAUGUAUAAGAAUGUUUAUUUUUAGUAAUGAAUUUUCUGUUUAAGAGAUCAAUCGGCAGCAACAUAAGGACCAUAAAAGUUUUGAUAGCCUUCAUCAAAAGUUAUAAUGUUAUGCAGAAGGUUUGCUGCUCUUUGAGAUUCCCAGUUUGAAGGGGAGAAGACAGAAUUCAAAGUGCCAGAAAAAAGGAUGGAUGAUGCUGGAAUUCUCUUCAGAAUUCAGACUGUAUCUGCUUAGAUAAAAUGUUUUAAGAAGCUGAUGGUUAUUGGAAAAUAAGUGCUGAAAUCCAAUCCUGGAUAUUAAAUAAUACCAUAAAGACAUCUGCAAUAAAGGAAAGAAUAAUAUAUUUUGAGUUUUCAUCUUCAUGUCCUAAAGCUGCUUGUAGGUAUUUAUAACAAAUUGGACAAUUUUGAGAAAAUUGUCACCAGCAUCUGUUUUCAAAUGAAGUGUGCUGGAGGUCUCAUGCAAUGAAGGAAGCUAGCUGAGAGCCAAUUGUUUCUCACUGCUGAGCUAUCAUGUUUGCCUUCUAAUGAAAACAAGAAUAAUAUUAAAAGUUAUGAUAUAUAUGUAUUUAAAAAAUCAAAAUCACCUAGCCUGAAAAGAAGUUUAUUUAAAAUGGUCCACAAAUUCCAUAUUAUUUGAGAAAAAUACUUUUUUUAGGUCUAUUAGUGAUAUUUCAGUAAACCUUUUAAUCUGUAUGAAGGGAAAACAGAUUCAAUGUAUUAAGUCUAUAGGCCAGUUCCUCUUCUAAAAUUCUGCACUGCAUAAAUCCAAAUGAAAACCCAUGACUCUAAGGCAUUCAUUUCAAGCCAUGGAAGAAUUUUCUUAGGGCUAUGAGUACAUAUGAAUAUCACUGAAAAGAGAAAGCAGAGAUCUUAUGUUUUUUAUGCAAUCAUGCAGUUAGAGUUUAGAACUAAUAGGCUGAAGUCCUGGAUAUUACAGCUCAGGCACCCUGGCAUUCACAUAGUGCUUUCCAGGGACCUACAAGUCUUCUUUGCGUACAAUAAUUCCCAUUUGUCUUCUGAAAUGUGGGCGAUGCUAUUAAAAAAGUCAAGAUGAUGUCAGCCCUGCCCUUUUGCUAUAUGCAUCCUAAAUGUAGCACAUUUCUUUACCUCCUUUGUCUUUUCCUUUAUUCCCGUACCUCCUCUGUCU
Molecule: RNA transcript, 5030 nt
Organism: Protobothrops mucrosquamatus (brown spotted pit viper)
Lineage: Eukaryota; Metazoa; Chordata; Lepidosauria; Squamata; Viperidae
Gene: ZNF475
Gene name: zinc finger protein 474
Exons: 6
Source: RefSeq, a predicted model, not a curated record